Molecule: long non-coding RNA, 1564 nt
Filed under: Nicotiana tabacum (common tobacco)
Lineage: Eukaryota; Viridiplantae; Streptophyta; Magnoliopsida; Solanales; Solanaceae
Description: long non-coding RNA (NTAB_LNC006032)
Source: RNAcentral
UUUGAUGCAGACCAAAUACUCAUGCUAUGUGGUGACAAAUAACAAUCUUUAGCGCUAUUCCAUUAGUAUGAUUUAAGAGUUGUAAUUGCUGUUCCUGGUUACAUAUCCAAACAAUCUGACAGUUUCACCUCCAGCUCUGAUUUCGUGACAAAACAAACCAAAAAUCUUAGUCAGGAGCACUGCUCUAUAUAUCUCAAAGAUGCAAUCAUAUGUCCUACCUACGUUUUACUUGAUCUCCUGUUUGCUAGCUCACGCUUGUCUGCUUUUGCUUUGAUAGCUUGCUGCAUUGACUAAACUAUUGAGAACUUAUGUUUUCCUUGCAAAUGGACAUUGCUAUAUUCUUCCUGCUUCCCUUCAAAUUGAAAAUAAUCAAAAACCCUGCCUUGGACUUUCAAAGGAUCUGCUAACCAAUUCUCUCCCUCCCUCAAUCUUCUGAUUAUUGGCUAGUUGAUUACUGUUAUCAGGUAAUCCUUGCUUCUACUUGUAUUAGAGCAUGUUCCUUCUUUCCCUGCGUCCCUUUACCAAAACAUAAAACCUAGUAAAAUGGAGAACUCUUUGGUUUUCAUUUGUCCCUUGUUUUCGCUUAUUGGUGCUGGUUGUAAAAUGAGGAAAAGUUGGAUUCUUCCACGGUCGUUACAGCAUGUAAUGUAGUUUUGAGGUAUAGGUGCCAUGAUAUUCUUUUAUUUUUAGAUGAUAUGAAUAAGUGUUUUCUAAAGGCAAAUAGAGAAACCACAACUAUCACAUGUUUUCUGUUUUUUUAUUCAUAUACAGAGGAAGGCAUGCUUGAGCAAAUCAUAUACAAAGGUUUAGCAUUCAACUGGCUGCCGGCUGCUGUCAUGAUUUAUUGCUUCCUUGUAGAUCUGGGAUUCAAGUGGUUGGAUUAUUAGGAAAAUUCACACGAGGACCACUUUGCUGUUUGCACGUCGUUAAGGUGGUAAUUAAUAUCGAAUUUUGGUUUUUGGCGCUUUUAGAAAAAAUAGAAAGCUUGCAUUUGCUAAUGGAAGGAUUUUUGGUUUUGAGGGUACAUGAGACUGAAUUCUCAAGAGAAAGAGCUCAUGACAAUGUCGGGAGCCUGUAGAUUUAUAUAUAUGAGGCUAUAAUGCAAAUGCAAGGGUUUGGAUGUUUGGAUUGUCUUCCAACAACCUAACCGUAGGGAAGGUGAAUAAUCUCCGGAAGUAAAAUUUACCUCUUCUGACCAAACUAAUUUAUAUAUUUACUUUCUUUCCUGUUUCAUUUACGUUGUAAAUCUUCUUUGUUAUUAGUAUUCUCAGUUUUAGUGGGGAAGAUUUGAUGAUAGGCAUUUACAUAGCAGAGCAAAUUGUUUUUACAUCGACCUAGCCAGUUCUUACUGACGUUGCUAUGAUGUUGCUCUGAAUUUCGGACAUGGUGAAGUUUUGUGCUUCUGUAUUUAGAACUAUAUCUAUCAAUCAUUCAAGUUUUGAAUGAAAUAUUCUGGAAAUAAUGAUGGAAAAUAGAAGUGCAGUCCUAAAAAAAUAAUGGUGUUUGCUGGGAUCAGACAAACUUGGAUUAUAAGGUUCAUUGCCACAAUGCUAAAAGUUGCAGG